CUCCUGGAAACGGGUGGUAAUGCCGGAUGCUCCGCCCCCUCGCAUGGGGGGUCGGGAAGGCUUUUGCGGAAUGGGAUGGGGUCGCGUCCUAUCAGCUUGUUGGCGGGGCGACGGCCCACCAAGGCUUCGACGGGUAGCCGGCCUGAGAGGGCGACCGGCCACAUUGGGACUGAGAUACGGCCCAGACUCCUACGGGAGGCAGCAGUGGGGAAUAUUGCACAAUGGGGGGAACCCUGAUGCAGCGACGCCGCGUGCGGGAUGGAGGCCUUCGGGUCGUGAACCGCUUUUGAUUGGGAGCAAGCGUGAGUGAGUGUACCUUUCGAAUAAGCACCGGCUAACUACGUGCCAGCAGCCGCGGUAAUACGUAGGGUGCAAGCGUUGUCCGGAAUCAUUGGGCGUAAAGGGCUCGUAGGCGGCUCCCCCGCGUCCGGUGUGAAAGCCCAUCGCUUAACGGUGGGUCUGCGCCGGGUACGGGCGGUCUUGAGUGCGGCAGGAGAGGCUGAUAUUCCCGGUGUAACGGCGGAAUGUGUAUAUAUCGCGAAGAACACC
RNAcentral lists this ribosomal RNA (549 nucleotides) under uncultured Bifidobacterium sp. Its description in RNAcentral is "bacterial SSU rRNA". It matches the Rfam family "Bacterial small subunit ribosomal RNA", at positions 147 to 710 of the family's 1533-position model. The record is from RNAcentral. Lineage: Bacteria; Bacillati; Actinomycetota; Actinomycetes; Bifidobacteriales; Bifidobacteriaceae.